Mesitornis unicolor (brown roatelo) is the source of this 907-nucleotide long non-coding RNA. RefSeq lists it as uncharacterized. The record is from RefSeq and is a predicted model, not a curated record. The transcript has 2 exons. Lineage: Eukaryota; Metazoa; Chordata; Aves; Mesitornithiformes; Mesitornithidae.
AGGUACGGUCUUUCCAACUUGGAUGCUACUCUUGAAGGAACACCAGACGACAUGACAGUUGUAGAUGCUGCUUCCUUAAGACGACAGAUAAUCAAACUUAAUCGCCGUCUACAACUUCUGGAAGAAGAAAACAAAGAGCGUGUUAAAAGGGAAAUGAUAAUGUAUUCAAUUACUGUAGCUUUCUGGCUACUCAAUAGCUGGCUUUGGUUUCGGCGCUAGACACAGCUCUCGGAAAGAUUUAAUAGUUGAAAAUAGAAACAAUUUGCAGAAUUCUUUGUUUUUGAAUUGUACGCUGUUUUAUAAUUCAUACACUGGAAACUUCCACCACAGAUAAAGGCUAUAGAAUUGCAGUGUUAACGGGACACCAUGUUGUUCAGUUAUAAUGUAUUUAAUAGAUUUGCAUUGCAAAUACUUGCAGUAUCCUCCUUUUGCAUGCUUCUGUGUAAAUAUAGAUCAGCCAAUACAAAGUUUGCUUCAUGCAGUGUAAGGACAGUGAUCUACAACCACUGGAUGUUUUGUUGUGGUGGGAAGAGAACAAAUGGAAUGGGUUUGGAAAAAAAAUACCAAAACAAAGGAAUGAAAAGUUUUUCUUGUUCUGUUGUUAGAUGCAAUUAAACAUGAUUGCACUAGAUUUCCUUUAGUCUGAGUAGUUUGAGGUAUGCCAUCUUCAAGGAGUGUGUCCUGUUUCAUGAGUGUGUUCCUUGUUUAAGCACAUGUUCAGGUCAAAUAAUAAAAGGUAUUCUUUGCUAACAUGCAGAUCGUCCAGAAGUGUGUAAUAUGUAUUUUCUUUUAGCUUUAAUUUUGCAGAUGUUUUUCUAUAAAAGACAUUUUUAAGCAAGUCAGUCUGUGAGUGAUCAAAAGAUUAUAGAGUCCAAGAUACUGAUGUAGUAUAUUUAAUAAAACGCUC